AUGCAUCGGUCGUCCCGCCACCAGAGAGUGGAGUGGUCCGGCGCAGCUGUAGAGAGGAUAGGAGCACAGGAAGCAGACGACCGGAGAAUGUCGGCCGUCCGGUGCACGGUUGUCCGGGGAGGACGGGAAUCCAUUAAUUUCGGUUCUGUGAAGUGGCACCGGAUGACCAGACACCCAUGGAUGUCCGAAAGCCGGUCGUCCGGAAGGGCCAGAAAUCCGAGAUUUUCUUUCUGUAAAGUGGCUUCGGACAUCCGGAGGACUGUGAUGCGCCGUUCAUCCGGAAACCUUCAGACGUCCAGACAAGUGACGGGUGGGCUCGUCUCACUCGCUCGUUGGCUGGGUAAACUUUGUUCGUGUCCGCGAGGGAUUUGCCAAUCCCCUCUGCCCGCGCGUCAAAACCCUAGCCGCCAGCCCUGCUCGUCCCGAGCCUGCGCCCACUCCGCCCCGUUCUCCUCCCCGCUCCCUCCAUCCUCUCCCAUGGCGCCGCCCCUCUUCUCCCCACUCGCCUCGGCCGCGUCUUCUCCUCCCCCGCGUCGUCGGCCCCCUCCCUCCUCCUCCCCCCUCUGUCCUUCGUCAUCACACGGGUCUUCCGGCCAGUGCCGGGGUGCAGCUGACGGCGGCCUCAGCGGGUGGGCGAUGGCGGCCGCAGCUAUGCACAAGCUCGCAUCGCCCUGGCGCCGAUCUCGCGCGGCUCCUGCGCCUCGCCACCCUCUUCUCCCCAGCUCAGCAGGAGGUUUGCGAGGCCACCACUUGGGCCGCUGCUGCCUCUUCCGCCCAGCAGGAGGAGCACGAGGUGAGCAGCAACAACGGGGACAGGCGACCUCGGGGAGAGUUUGCGGAGGGGCGCAUAUCAGAUCCUUUCUGAAUCCGAUGGUGUCAAUCGAGCCACAGAGAGGAAGUGAGUUGGAGAUGAGAUGGGGACAGAAGAUCCUUCUCGGCUGGUUCCAAGGCCGUGAGGGGAAGGACUUCCUGUUGUCCGCCGGAGGGGAAAGAGCAGAGAUCCGAGAGACGAAGCAACCAGAGGAGCCGGAGAACACGACCCAUGUCCUAUGUACCGGCCACAUCCCCCACAGCUUCUGCGAGGACCAUAUGCAAGGUAUGUCUCUGUCAUUGGAGCUUGGAGAAGUGCAGGUUUCUUUUAGCAGCUUGGGGUUAUUAAGAAGAGGGUCAGUAUUGCCCAGAACCGCAAGGACAAAUUUGAUUUUGGGAAGACAAAGGUCUGACAAGGAUGAGAAUGGGAUACCAGAUUACAACGGUGGAGGCUCGGACAUGGAUCUGCUCAUGCUCUCAACGGGAAUACUGGAUGUUCUCGAAGCUUUGCCAUACACACGUGCUACUUUUGGCACUUGCGUGGGCUCCAGUUUGUGUCAAUGCAAUUUGCAUCUGUCAGCGGAUUAUGGCGAGCUUGGUUAUUGGCCUACAGGGUGCUCCACCGAUGGUGAAAAUACCUCACAGGAUGAUGUUGGAUAUUAUUCUGCAAACUUUGGGCCUACCGGUGGCUGA
RNAcentral lists this ribosomal RNA (1503 nucleotides) under Triticum aestivum (bread wheat). Its description in RNAcentral is "partial small subunit ribosomal RNA". The record is from RNAcentral. Lineage: Eukaryota; Viridiplantae; Streptophyta; Magnoliopsida; Poales; Poaceae.